This 253-nucleotide ribosomal RNA is filed under the name uncultured bacterium. RNAcentral's name for it is "partial 16S ribosomal RNA". It matches the Rfam family "Bacterial small subunit ribosomal RNA", at positions 524 to 776 of the family's 1533-position model. The record is from RNAcentral.
UACGAAGGGGGCUAGCGUUGUUCGGAAUUACUGGGCGUAAAGCGCGCGCAGGCGGCUAUCCAAGUCAGUGGUGAAAGCCCGGAGCUCAACUCCGGAACUGCCAUUGAAACUGUUUAGCUUGAGGAUGGGAGAGGUGAGUGGAAUUCCCAGUGUAGAGGUGAAAUUCGUAGAUAUUGGGAAGAACACCGGUGGCGAAGGCGGCUCACUGGCUCAUUACUGACGCUCAGGCGCGAUAGCGUGGGGAUCAAACAGG